This 375-nucleotide ribosomal RNA is filed under the name uncultured bacterium. Its description in RNAcentral is "partial 16S ribosomal RNA". It matches the Rfam family "Bacterial small subunit ribosomal RNA", at positions 338 to 710 of the family's 1533-position model. The record is from RNAcentral.
CCUACGGGUGGCAGCAGUGAGGAAUAUUGGUCAAUGGGCGCGAGCCUGAACCAGCCAAGUAGCGUGAAGGAUGACUGCCCUACGGGUUGUAAACUUCGUUUAUAAAGGAAUAAAGUGAUGCACGUGUGUCUUUUCGUAUGUACUUUAUGAAUUAGGAUCGGCUAACUCCGUGCCAGCAGCCGCGGUAAUACGGAGGAUCCGAGCGUUAUCCGGAGUGAUUGGGUUUAAAGGGAGCGUAGAUGGGUGUGUAAGUCAGUUGUGAAAGUUUACGGCUCAACCGUAAAAUUGCAAUUGAUACUGGAAGUCUUGAGGACAGUAGAGGAAGGCGGAAUGCGUGGGGUAGCGGUGAAAUGCGUAGAGAUAACGAAGAACUAC